RNAcentral lists this ribosomal RNA (2211 nucleotides) under Escherichia coli. RNAcentral describes it as "bacterial LSU rRNA". It matches the Rfam family "Bacterial large subunit ribosomal RNA", at positions 1 to 2228 of the family's 2925-position model. Lineage: Bacteria; Pseudomonadati; Pseudomonadota; Gammaproteobacteria; Enterobacterales; Enterobacteriaceae. The record is from RNAcentral.
GGGUUGUGAGGUUAAGCGACUAAGCGUACACGGUGGAUGCCCUGGCAGUCAGAGGCGAUGAAGGACGUGCUAAUCUGCGAUAAGCGUCGGUAAGGUGAUAUGAACCGUUAUAACCGGCGAUUUCCGAAUGGGGAAACCCAGUGUGUUUCGACACACUAUCAUUAACUGAAUCCAUAGGUUAAUGAGGCGAACCGGGGGAACUGAAACAUCUAAGUACCCCGAGGAAAAGAAAUCAACCGAGAUUCCCCCAGUAGCGGCGAGCGAACGGGGAGCAGCCCAGAGCCUGAAUCAGUAUGUGUGUUAGUGGAAGCGUCUGGAAAGGCGCGCGAUACAGGGUGACAGCCCCGUACACAAAAAUGCACAUGCUGUGAGCUCGAUGAGUAGGGCGGGACACGUGGUAUCCUGUCUGAAUAUGGGGGGACCAUCCUCCAAGGCUAAAUACUCCUGACUGACCGAUAGUGAACCAGUACCGUGAGGGAAAGGCGAAAAGAACCCCGGCGAGGGGAGUGAAAAAGAACCUGAAACCGUGUACGUACAAGCAGUGGGAGCACGCUUAGGCGUGUGACUGCGUACCUUUUGUAUAAUGGGUCAGCGACUUAUAUUCUGUAGCAAGGUUAACCGAAUAGGGGAGCCGAAGGGAAACCGAGUCUUAACUGGGCGUUAAGUUGCAGGGUAUAGACCCGAAACCCGGUGAUCUAGCCAUGGGCAGGUUGAAGGUUGGGUAACACUAACUGGAGGACCGAACCGACUAAUGUUGAAAAAUUAGCGGAUGACUUGUGGCUGGGGGUGAAAGGCCAAUCAAACCGGGAGAUAGCUGGUUCUCCCCGAAAGCUAUUUAGGUAGCGCCUCGUGAAUUCAUCUCCGGGGGUAGAGCACUGUUUCGGCAAGGGGGUCAUCCCGACUUACCAACCCGAUGCAAACUGCGAAUACCGGAGAAUGUUAUCACGGGAGACACACGGCGGGUGCUAACGUCCGUCGUGAAGAGGGAAACAACCCAGACCGCCAGCUAAGGUCCCAAAGUCAUGGUUAAGUGGGAAACGAUGUGGGAAGGCCCAGACAGCCAGGAUGUUGGCUUAGAAGCAGCCAUCAUUUAAAGAAAGCGUAAUAGCUCACUGGUCGAGUCGGCCUGCGCGGAAGAUGUAACGGGGCUAAACCAUGCACCGAAGCUGCGGCAGCGACGCUGAUGCGUUGUUGGGUAGGGGAGCGUUCUGUAAGCCUGCGAAGGUGUGCUGUGAGGCAUGCUGGAGGUAUCAGAAGUGCGAAUGCUGACAUAAGUAACGAUAAAGCGGGUGAAAAGCCCGCUCGCCGGAAGACCAAGGGUUCCUGUCCAACGUUAAUCGGGGCAGGGUGAGUCGACCCCUAAGGCGAGGCCGAAAGGCGUAGUCGAUGGGAAACAGGUUAAUAUUCCUGUACUUGGUGUUACUGCGAAGGGGGGACGGAGAAGGCUAUGUUGGCCGGGCGACGGUUGUCCCGGUUUAAGCGUGUAGGCUGGUUUUCCAGGCAAAUCCGGAAAAUCAAGGCUGAGGCGUGAUGACGAGGCACUACGGUGCUGAAGCAACAAAUGCCCUGCUUCCAGGAAAAGCCUCUAAGCAUCAGGUAACAUCAAAUCGUACCCCAAACCGACACAGGUGGUCAGGUAGAGAAUACCAAGGCGCUUGAGAGAACUCGGGUGAAGGAACUAGGCAAAAUGGUGCCGUAACUUCGGGAGAAGGCACGCUGAUAUGUAGGUGAAGCGACUUGCUCGUGGAGCUGAAAUCAGUCGAAGAUACCAGCUGGCUGCAACUGUUUAUUAAAAACACAGCACUGUGCAAACACGAAAGUGGACGUAUACGGUGUGACGCCUGCCCGGUGCCGGAAGGUUAAUUGAUGGGGUCAGCGCAAGCGAAGCUCUUGAUCGAAGCCCCGGUAAACGGCGGCCGUAACUAUAACGGUCCUAAGGUAGCGAAAUUCCUUGUCGGGUAAGUUCCGACCUGCACGAAUGGCGUAAUGAUGGCCAGGCUGUCUCCACCCGAGACUCAGUGAAAUUGAACUCGCUGUGAAGAUGCAGUGUACCCGCGGCAAGACGGAAAGACCCCGUGAACCUUUACUAUAGCUUGACACUGAACAUUGAGCCUUGAUGUGUAGGAUAGGUGGGAGGCUUUGAAGUGUGGACGCCAGUCUGCAUGGAGCCGACCUUGAAAUACCACCCUUUAAUGUUUGAUGUUCUAACGU